Molecule: ribosomal RNA, 591 nt
Filed under: uncultured bacterium
Lineage: Bacteria
Description: bacterial SSU rRNA
Rfam family: Bacterial small subunit ribosomal RNA
Source: RNAcentral
UAGGCCGGUACUCGCGAAUCAUCUGCUUAAGAGUUUGAUCAUGGCUCACCCAUGGAACGUAGCGGCGUGCCUAAUACAUGCAAGUCGAGCGAAUGGAUUGAGAGCUUGCUCUCAAGAAGUUAGCGGCGGACGGGUGAGUAACACGUGGGUAACCUGUCCAUAAGACUGGGAUAACUCCGGGAAACCGGGGCUAAUACCGGAUAACAUUUUGAACUGCAUGGUUCGAAAUUGAAAGGCGGCUUCGGCUGUCACUUAUGGAUGGACCCGCGUCGCAUUAGCUAGUUGGUGAGGUAACGGCUCACCAAGGCAACGAUGCGUAGCCGACCUGAGAGGGUGAUCGGCCACACUGGGACUGAGACACGGCCCAGACUCCUACGGGAGGCAGCAGUAGGGAAUCUUCCGCAAUGGACGAAAGUCUGACGGAGCAACGCCGCGUGAGUGAUGAAGGCUUUCGGGUCGUAAAACUCUGUUGUUAGGGAAGAACAAGUGCUAGUUGAAUAAGCUGGCACCUUGACGGUACCUAACCAGAAAGCCACGGCUAACUACGUGCCAGGCAGACCGGCGGGGUGAAUACCGUAGGGGUGGCCAAGC